GUUUCUGUAUGCAAUCACCAAGCAGAAAAGAUAUCCGGAUGUUCUAUUAAGGGGUAAGCCAGCUACCAUACUGUGAAAACACUCAAGCAGCAUCACUGAAGGACCUGCAUGGAGAGAAAUUGAGGUCUCCACUCAACUAGCAAGUACCAUAUUCCCAGCCAUGCAUAUGAGUUACAUUGGAAGUGAAUCAGCAGCUCCCUUCCAGCCUUCAGAUGACUAUAGCAGCAGUUGACAUUAAACAACAAUCUCACAAGACACACCCAGCAAUAUCUGAAUUAUUCUCAAAAUGCACAUACUUGUGGUGUACCAGGACUGACAGAGGAGGGACACAGUGGAGGAAGAUUACUAAUUAUUCCUAAUUAUACCAGAUGGGAGCAGAGAGGAGGACAAGAAGAACCUGAAAGAUGAAGACAAACUUUUCCUUCACAAUGUCAAAAUGUUUUCUUGACACAAGAAAGAGAAGGCUAUUGUAUU
This 474-nucleotide long non-coding RNA is filed under the name Homo sapiens (human). Its description in RNAcentral is "HSALNT0210002". The record is from RNAcentral. Lineage: Eukaryota; Metazoa; Chordata; Mammalia; Primates; Hominidae.